CCUACGGGCGGCAGCAGUGAGGAAUAUUGGUCAAUGGACGCAAGUCUGAACCAGCCAAGCCGCGUGCAGGAAGACGGCUCUAUGAGUUGUAAACUGCUUUUGUACGAGGGUAAACGCAGAUACGCGUAUCUGUCUGAAAGUAUCGUACGAAUAAGGAUCGGCUAACUCCGUGCCAGCAGCCGCGGUAAUACGGAGGAUUCAAGCGUUAUCCGGAUUUAUUGGGUUUAAAGGGUGCGUAGGUGGUCGGUUAAGUUAGAGGUGAAAUCCCGAGGCUCAACUUUGGAAUUGCCUUUGAUACUGGUAGGCUUGAGAACAGGUGAGGUAGGCGGAAUGCGUGGUGUAGCGGUGAAAUGCUUAGAGAUCACACAGAACACCGAUUGCGAAGGCAGCUUACCAAGCUACUUCUGACGUUGAGGCACGAAAGCGUGGGGAGCAAACAGGAUUAGAUACCCGUGUAGUC
RNAcentral lists this ribosomal RNA (460 nucleotides) under uncultured bacterium. RNAcentral's name for it is "partial 16S ribosomal RNA". It matches the Rfam family "Bacterial small subunit ribosomal RNA", at positions 338 to 795 of the family's 1533-position model. The record is from RNAcentral.